This 525-nucleotide ribosomal RNA is filed under the name Caryophanales bacterium. Its description in RNAcentral is "bacterial SSU rRNA". It matches the Rfam family "Bacterial small subunit ribosomal RNA", at positions 31 to 537 of the family's 1533-position model. Lineage: Bacteria; Bacillati; Bacillota; Bacilli; Caryophanales. The record is from RNAcentral.
GGAACCUUCCCCCUGCCUUAUACAUGCAAGUCGAGCGAAUGGAUUAAGAGCUUGCUCUUAUGAAGUUAGCGGCGGACGGGUGAGUAACACGUGGGUAACCUGCCCAUAAGACUGGGAUAACUCCGGGAAACCGGGGCUAAUACCGGAUAACAUUUUGAACCGCAUGGUUCGAAAUUGAAAGGCGGCUUCGGCUGUCACUUAUGGAUGGACCCGCGUCGCAUUAGCUAGUUGGUGAGGUAACGGCUCACCAAGGCAACGAUGCGUAGCCGACCUGAGAGGGUGAUCGGCCACACUGGGACUGAGACACGGCCCAGACUCCUACGGGAGGCAGCAGUAGGGAAUCUUCCGCAAUGGACGAAAGUCUGACGGAGCAACGCCGCGUGAGUGAUGAAGGCUUUCGGGUCGUAAAACUCUGUUGGUAGGGAAGAACAAGUGUUAGUUGAAUAAGCUGGGACCUUGACGAUACCUAACCAGAAAGCCACCGCUAACUACGUGCCAGCAGCCGCGGUAAUACGUAGAUGGGAA